Molecule: ribosomal RNA, 238 nt
Filed under: uncultured bacterium
Lineage: Bacteria
Description: partial 16S ribosomal RNA
Rfam family: Bacterial small subunit ribosomal RNA
Source: RNAcentral
UGGCGGACGGGUGAGUAACGCGUGGGUAACCUGCCUUGUACUGGGGGACAACAGUUGGAAACGACUGCUAAUACCGCAUAAGCGCACAGCUUCGCAUGAAGCAGUGUGAAAAACUCCGGUGGUACAAGAUGGACCCGCGUCUGAUUAGCUGGUUGGUAAGGUAACGGCUUACCAAGGCGACGAUCAGUAGCCGACCUGAGAGGGUGACCGGCCACAUUGGGACUGAGACACGGCCCAA